Molecule: ribosomal RNA, 496 nt
Filed under: uncultured bacterium
Lineage: Bacteria
Description: partial 16S ribosomal RNA
Rfam family: Bacterial small subunit ribosomal RNA
Source: RNAcentral
AUGAACGCUGGCGGCGUGCCUAAUACAUGCAAGACGAGCGAACAGACGAGGAGCUUGCUCCUCUGACGUUAGCGGCGGACGGGUGAGUAACACGUGGAUAACCUACCUAUAAGACUGGGAUAACUUCGGGAAACCGGAGCUAAUACCGGAUAAUAUAUUGAACCGCAUGGUUCAAUAGUGAAAGACGGUUUUGCUGUCACUUAUAGAUGGAUCCGCGCCACAUUAGCUAGUUGGUAAGGUAACGGCUUACCAAGACAACGAUGCGUAGCCGACCUGAGAGGGUGAUCGGCCACACUGGAACUGAGACACGGUCCAGACUCCUACGGGAGGCAGCAGUAGGGAAUCUUCCGCAAUGGGCGAAGGCCUGACGGAGCAACGCCGCGUGAGUGAUGAAGGUCUUCGGAUCGUAAAACUCUGUUAUUAGGGAAGAACAAAUGUGUAAGUAACUAUGCACGUCUUGACGGUACCUAAUCAGAAAGCCACGGCUAACUACGUG